UUAAGCGACUAAGCGUACACGGUGGAUGCCCUGGCAGUCAGAGGCGAUGAAGGACGUGCUAAUCUGCGAUAAGCGUCGGUGAGGUGAUAUGAACCGUUAUAACCGGCGAUUUCCGAAUGGGGAAACCCAGUGUGUUUCGACACACUAUCAUUAACUGAAUCCAUAGGUUAAUGAGGGCGAACCGGGGAACUGAAACAUCUAAGUACCCCGAGGAAAAGAAAUCAACCGAGAUUCCCCCCAGUAGCGGCGAGCGAACGGGGAGGAGCCCAGAGCCUGAAUCAGUGUGUGUGUUAGUGGAAGCGUCUGGAAAGGCGCGCGAUACAGGGUGACAGCCCCGUACACAAAAAUGCACAUAUUGUGAGCUCGAUGAGUAGGGCGGGACACGUGGUAUCCUGUCUGAAUAUGGGGGACCAUCCUCCAAGGCUAAAUACUCCCUGACUGACCGAUAGUGAACCAGUACCGUGAGGGAAAGGCGAAAAGAACCCCGGCGAGGGGAGUGAAAAAGAACCUGAAACCGUGUACGUACAAGCAGUGGGAGCCUCUUUAUGGGGUGACUGCGUACCUUUUGUAUAAUGGGUCAGCGACUUAUAUUCUGUAGCAAGGUUAACCGAAUAGGGGAGCCGAAGGGAAACCGAGUCUUAACUGGGCGUUAAGUUGCAGGGUAUAGACCCGAAACCCGGUGAUCUAGCCAUGGGCAGGUUGAAGGUUGGGUAACACUAACUGGAGGACCGAACCGACUAAUGUUGAAAAAUUAGCGGAUGACUUGUGGCUGGGGGUGAAAGGCCAAUCAAACCGGGAGAUAGCUGGUUCUCCCCGAAAGCUAUUUAGGUAGCGCCUCGUGAAUUCAUCUCCGGGGGUAGAGCACUGUUUCGGCAAGGGGGUCAUCCCGACUUACCAACCCGAUGCAAACUGCGAAUACCGGAGAAUGUUAUCACGGGAGACACACGGCGGGUGCUAACGUCCGUCGUGAAGAGGGAAACAACCCAGACCGCCAGCUAAGGUCCCAAAGUCAUGGUUAAGUGGGAAACGAUGUGGGAAGGCCCAGACAGCCAGGAUGUUGGCUUAGAAGCAGCCAUCAUUUAAAGAAAGCGUAAUAGCUCACUGGUCGAGUCGGCCUGCGCGGAAGAUGUAACGGGGCUAAACCAUGCACCGAAGCUGCGGCAGCGACACUAUGUGUUGUUGGGUAGGGGAGCGUUCUGUAAGCCUGUGAAGGUGGCCUGUGAGGGUUGCUGGAGGUAUCAGAAGUGCGAAUGCUGACAUAAGUAACGAUAAAGCGGGUGAAAAGCCCGCUCGCCGGAAGACCAAGGGUUCCUGUCCAACGUUAAUCGGGGCAGGGUGAGUCGACCCCUAAGGCGAGGCCGAAAGGCGUAGUCGAUGGGAAACAGGUUAAUAUUCCUGUACUUGGUGUUACUGCGAAGGGGGGACGGAGAAGGCUAUGUUGGCCGGGCGACGGUUGUCCCGGUUUAAGCGUGUAGGCUGGUUUUCCAGGCAAAUCCGGAAAACCAAGGCUGAGGCGUGAUGACGAGGCACUACGGUGCUGAAGCGACAAAUGCCCUGCUUCCAGGAAAAGCCUCUAAGCAUCAGGUAACAUCAAAUCGUACCCCAAACCGACACAGGUGGUCAGGUAGAGAAUACCAAGGCGCUUGAGAGAACUCGGGUGAAGGAACUAGGCAAAAUGGUGCCGUAACUUCGGGAGAAGGCACGCUGAUAUGUAGGUGAAGCGACUUGCUCGUGGAGCUGAAAUCAGUCGAAGAUACCAGCUGGCUGCAACUGUUUAUUAAAAACACAGCACUGUGCAAACACGAAAGUGGACGUAUACGGUGUGACGCCUGCCCGGUGCCGGAAGGUUAAUUGAUGGGGUUAGCGGUAACGCGAAGCUCUUGAUCGAAGCCCCGGUAAACGGCGGCCGUAACUAUAACGGUCCUAAGGUAGCGAAAUUCCUUGUCGGGUAAGUUCCGACCUGCACGAAUGGCGUAAUGAUGGCCGGGGCUGUCUCCACCCGAGACUCAGUGAAAUUGAACUCGCUGUGAAGAUGCAGUGUACCCGCGGCAAGACGGAAAGACCCCGUGAACCUUUACUAUAGCUUGACACUGAACAUUGAGCCUUGAUGUGUAGGAUAGGUGGGAGGCUUUGAAGUGUGGACGCCAGUCUGCAUGGAGCCGACCUUGAAAUACCACCCUUUAAUGUUUGAUGUUCUAACGUUGGCCCGUAAUCCGGGUUGCGGACAGUGUCUGGUGGGUAGUUUGACUGGGGCGGUCUCCUCCUAAAGAGUAACGGAGGAGCACGAAGGUUGGCUAAUCCCCGGUCGGACAUCAGGAGGUUAGUGCAAUGGCAUAAGCCAGCUUGACUGCGAGCGUGACGGCGCGAGCAGGUGCGAAAGCAGGUCAUAGUGAUCCGGUGGUUCUGAAUGGAAGGGCCAUCGCUCAACGGAUAAAAGGUACUCCGGGGAUAACAGGCUGAUACCGCCCAAGAGUUCAUAUCGACGGCGGUGUUUGGCACCUCGAUGUCGGCUCAUCACAUCCUGGGGCUGAAGUAGGUCCCAAGGGUAUGGCUGUUCGCCAUUUAAAGUGGUACGCGAGCUGGGUUUAGAACGUCGUGAGACAGUUCGGUCCCUAUCUGCCGUGGGCGCUGGAGAACUGAGGGGGGCUGCUCCUAGUACGAGAGGACCGGAGUGGACGCAUCACUGGUGUUCGGGUUGUCAUGCCAAUGGCACUGCCCGGUAGCUAAAUGCGGAAGAGAUAAGUGCUGAAAGCAUCUAAGCACGAAACUUGCCCCGAGAUGAGUUCUCCCUGACUCCUUGAGAGUCCUGAAGGAACGUUGAAGACGACGACGUUGAUAGGCCGGGUGUGUAAGCGCAGCGAUGCGUUGAGCUAACCGGUACUAAUGAACCGUGAGGCUUAACCUU
RNAcentral lists this ribosomal RNA (2905 nucleotides) under Escherichia coli. Its description in RNAcentral is "ribosomal RNA 23s ribosomal RNA". It matches the Rfam family "Bacterial large subunit ribosomal RNA". The record is from RNAcentral. Lineage: Bacteria; Pseudomonadati; Pseudomonadota; Gammaproteobacteria; Enterobacterales; Enterobacteriaceae.